AAGGAGCAAGUGCUGUGGGAAGGGCACAGACAAUCAUGCUGGAAGACAAGUGCAAAGCAUUGAGAAGCCUGGAGGCACAAAAAGUUACCCAGAAAACCCUGGCUUCACAUGACCAUCCACGAGAAGGAGCAGGCCUGGCUGCCGAGAGAGGCAAGCCAUCGCUCUGCCAGAGCGGCCUUGCCCGAGGCAGGCUGGCACCCAGAAGCAUUCCAGCCAAAUAACGUCUUCCCCGCUGAGCGCUCCUCUGCUCGUUCAGUAAGCUGCAAGCCAUGUUGUGUGCCCCCAGAUGCAUUUGCAGAGGUCUGGCCUGUCAUUUCACUAAAAAAAAUUUUUUUUAA
Suricata suricatta (meerkat) is the source of this 338-nucleotide long non-coding RNA. RefSeq lists it as uncharacterized. Lineage: Eukaryota; Metazoa; Chordata; Mammalia; Carnivora; Herpestidae. The transcript is spliced from 2 exons. The record is from RefSeq and is a predicted model, not a curated record.